Nicotiana tabacum (common tobacco) is the source of this 584-nucleotide long non-coding RNA. RefSeq lists it as uncharacterized. The record is from RefSeq and is a predicted model, not a curated record. NCBI's taxonomy places the organism in Eukaryota, Viridiplantae, Streptophyta, Magnoliopsida, Solanales, Solanaceae.
UAUAAACAUAAUAGAACUCCACCGCAAAUUAUCCGUGCCAAUCGAUUGCAAUCCACAGCAAAGACGAAAUUUGAAGGUUUGACAAUGAGCAAAUUAAAUCCAAGGUUGGAAGAUUAAAGAGAGACACAAAAACCUUCAAGGAGCUCCUUAAUUCUUGCUCUGUGUACUGAUGGGACCCUAUAACUAACACAGUUACCUGUCCAUCUGACAUUUGGGCGAAUCAUGUGAAGCAAAAGAAAGAGAAGAAUGCAUAUAUUUCCAAGUAUAGAUACCAAGGGCUUAAAGAUUUUGACUUACAAGAUGAGAUAUUUGGGAAUUCAUUUGCCACGGAAACCAUGUUAUGUAUAUCACAAAUCCUAAUUUUUCACAACAAUCAAAUGAAGCUAUUGCCGUGGAGAAUGAACCUUCUGAUUGUGACGACUACCCUGCUGACAGAGGGUGGAACACCUACACGUCGCAAAAAAAGUCGUGCUAUAGCCGCAACCUACUCAUAUGAUUAUUUUAAGGAGCACUUGGAGUGGAAGAGAAACAAAGAGGAAGCAAAAGAAAGAAAGAAGCAAGAACAAGAGCAGAUACAAGCGUCC